This 254-nucleotide ribosomal RNA is filed under the name uncultured bacterium. RNAcentral's name for it is "partial 16S ribosomal RNA". It matches the Rfam family "Bacterial small subunit ribosomal RNA", at positions 524 to 776 of the family's 1533-position model. The record is from RNAcentral.
UACGGAGGGUGCGAGCGUUGCUCGGAAUCACUGGGCGUAAAGCGUACGCAGGCGGCUCGCUAAGUCGGGUGUGAAAGCCCGGGGCUCAACCCCGGAAAUGCGCCCGAUACUGGCGAGCUUGAGUACGGGAGAGGGAUAGCGGAAUUCCUGGUGUAGAGGUGAAAUUCGUAGAUAUCAGGAGGAACACCAGUGGCGAAAGCGGCUUCCUGGCCCGAUACUGACGCUCAUGUACGAAAGCGUGGGGAGCAAACAGG